CAAUGGACGGUACAACGAGUCGCAAACUCGCGAGAGUAAGCUAAUCUCUUAAAGCCGUUCUCAGUUCGGACUGUAGGUUGCAACUCGCCUACACGAAGUCGGAAUCGCUAGUAAUCGCGGAUCAGCAUGCCGCGGUGAAUACGUUCCCGGGCCUUGUACACACCGCCCGUCACACCAUGGGAGUUUGUAACGCCCAAAGUCGGUGGCCUAACCUUUAUGGAGGGGGCCGCCUAAGGCGGGACAGAUGACUGGGGUGAAGUCGUAACAAGGUACC
RNAcentral lists this ribosomal RNA (274 nucleotides) under uncultured bacterium. RNAcentral describes it as "partial 16S ribosomal RNA". It matches the Rfam family "Bacterial small subunit ribosomal RNA", at positions 1228 to 1500 of the family's 1533-position model. The record is from RNAcentral.